Molecule: long non-coding RNA, 638 nt
Filed under: Homo sapiens (human)
Lineage: Eukaryota; Metazoa; Chordata; Mammalia; Primates; Hominidae
Description: novel transcript
Source: RNAcentral
AUAUUCCUGGUGGCUGGACUUCAUUAACCUUGGCUGUGUUCAGCUAUGGAGGCCUCUGAUCGAGUCAAGAUAUUUUGCUGCCUAGUUGUUGCUGAUUUGAUUCAGGUUUUUAUUACUUUACAAAGGCAAUGCUUAUCCCUGUGGGUGAUAAGAAACCAACAAGGCCCAAGCUGCCAGCAUUGGUUUCCCCUGCCUCUAAACCAGCAUGCUCUAUUUGGGUGUUUAUUACGGGACUUUGGACUGCAGAUGGAAUUGCAAGUGCUCCCUGCUCAGGGAACUUGCCCUCAGAGGGAGAAUGCAGGCCUGCAUAAACCCCAGGAGAUCCAUUGAGGAGACACCUAAAGCAAGUCCAGUGAUGGUGUGACAGGAUGAUGCUGUGAUGCUCAUGAUCUAGGCACAGAGGUCACUCUGAGCUUCCAUUUGGACAGCUGCCUGUUCGUGGGAAGAUCACCAAGCUCUUAACCCAGGAAGGGAUGCUGUGCUGCAUAUUGGCGUUGUUGUGAGGUCAAGAGAGAUUUCAUCCCUGCUGUCCUUCCUCAGAUGGGUCAUUAUGUCUGGAUUCAGGAAGAGAAUAUGCAAAUGUUGAGUCUGUGCCUCUUAACAAACUCAUCCUGCAUGAAAAAUCAUUAUUUACUUCA